AUUGAACGCUGGCGGCAUGCUUUACACAUGCAAGUCGAACGGCAGCGCGGGGGCAACCCUGGCGGCGAGUGGCGAACGGGUGAGUAAUACAUCGGAACGUACCCAGAAGUGGGGGAUAACGUAGCGAAAGUUACGCUAAUACCGCAUACGUUCUACGGAAGAAAGUGGGGGAUCGCAAGACCUCAUGCUUUUGGAGCGGCCGAUGUCUGAUUAGCUAGUUGGUGAGGUAAAGGCCCACCAAGGCGACGAUCGGUAACUGGUCUGAGAGGAUGAUCAGUCACACUGGAACUGAGACACGGUCCAGACUCCUACGGGAGGCAGCAGUGGGGAAUAUUGGACAAUGGGGGCAACCCUGAUCCAGCCAUGCCGCGUGUGUGAAGAAGGCCCUCGGGUUGUAAAGCACUUUAAGCGGGGAGGAAGGCCUGAUGGUUAAUACCCAUUGGGAUUGACGUUACCCGCAGAUAAGCACCGGCAAACUUCGUGCCAGCAGCCGCGGUAAGG
This 501-nucleotide ribosomal RNA is filed under the name uncultured bacterium. Its description in RNAcentral is "bacterial SSU rRNA". It matches the Rfam family "Bacterial small subunit ribosomal RNA", at positions 30 to 525 of the family's 1533-position model. The record is from RNAcentral.